GCCUCAUGUCUGCAGCGAUAAACAUCCCAAUAGAUUUGGUGAUGGCUUUAGCCCGGUCUGAAAACGGCGAAGAAUUGGGAUGCAGCCAUAGACAGCCAUUAACUGGCGUGCAGUCACACUGUGUGACUGAAGUUUUAUAACUGGGAGCUGUGACAGGACAUGUAAAAUAUGGGACACCGCGUCAGGCGAGGGACUGCACACACUGGAGGGCCACAGGGCCAAGAUUUCCACUGGGUCCUUUGAUAAGACCUGCAGGAUGUGGAGAGCCGAGAUGGGCAAAUGUUUACACACCUUCCGAGGACACACUGUGGAAAUAGUAGGAGGGACUUUCUGAGAGAUUGGACUUGUCUUUCAGUAUAAAUAGGAUUGCAGUGAGCUUCGAAUCUGAUUUUCUAUGUGAAUGGCAGCUAACACAGUUUUCGGGGCCUACCAGGUAUGUUUGGCGUUUAACCAACCUUGGUGGCCAUGGGUAGCAUGGACACUACGGACAAGCUAUGGGACGUCCAGACUGGAGAGGAGGUGGCUACACUGACAGAAAUGGUCUCUCUCUCUCUGUCUCUCUCUCUCUCUCUCUCUCUCUCUCUCUCUCUCUGUCUCUCUGUCUGUCUCUCUCUCUCUCUCUCUCUCUGUCUGUCUCUCUUUCUCUCUCUCUCUCUCUCUCUCUCUCUCUCUCUCUCUCUCUCUCUCUCUCUCUCUCUCUCUGUCUCUGUCUCUCUCUCUCUCUCUCUGUCUGUCUCUCUUUCUCUCUCUCUCUGUCUCUCUCUCUCUCCCCCUCUCUCUCUCUCUCUGUCUCUCUGUCUCUCUCUCUGUCUCUCUCUCCCCCUCUCUCUCUCUGUCUGUCUGUCUGUCUGUCUGUCUGUCUGUCUGUCUGUCUGUCUGUCUGUCUGUCUGUCUGUCUGUCUGUCUGUCUGUCUCUCUCUUUCUCUCUCUCUCUUUCUCUCUCUCUCUGAAGCUGUGACUGUAAUGCAUUCAUUAGGUAAUCCAUCUAUCUACAUACUCAACUACAGGACAUGCAGCUUCCUGCUGCACGUGGGCAAACUGUGUGGCUCUGUGUGCUCCUCUCUACCUCUUAUCUACAUCUCCUACUUCAAUUAUUCCUACAUUAGUCAUGCUGGUGAAUAUGGAGACUCAAGCACAAAAAGGAAAAUGUGUUCCUCGAACUGAAUUGGAUGAAAUUGUGCAAUUUAGCUUUUUCAAAGGAGAAAGAAUACCUCAUUUAUUUGACUGUUCUUUUGUGAACUCUGCAAGUGUAACGAAUCAAAUUCUCUUCUCUCUUUCAUGUUUUUUGUUUGUUCCCUCUCUCUCCCUUUCUCUCUCCCUUUCUCUCUCCCUCUCUCCCCCCCCCCCUUCUUUCUCCUUCCUCUCUCAGGGCCACUCAGCAGAUAUCAUCUCCUUGUCGUUUAACACAGUGGGUGACCAGCUAGUCACUGGCUCCUUUGACCACACUGUUUCUCUGUGGGAUGUUCCAUCUGGGAGGCGUGUCCACACACUGAUAGGUCACAGAGGGGAGAUAAGCAGUGUUCAGUUUGACUGGGACUGCUCCCUUCUCAUCACCGGCUCCAUGGACAAAAGCAGUAGGUAUGUGUUUGUGUACCGGAGUGUGUGCGUGUGUCUCUGCUUCCCCAGGUGUGGGAGGCAGCGAGUGGGAAGUGUAUGGCCACACUAGCAGGCCAUGAAGACGAGGUGCUGGAUGUGUGUUUUGACUACACCGGUCAACUCAUAGCCACUGCCUCGGCAGACGGCACAGAGAGAGUGUCCAGCGCUGCCAGACUGGAGGGACAGGAGGGAGAGAUACCCAAGAUCUGUUUUAGCGCUCUCAAGCCAGUAGAGUUCUGUCGGCCAGCGCUGACAUGAUGGCUCGCCUGUGGGAUGUCCAGUCUGGCGUCUAUCUUCAGGUCCCAGAGGGAUACACGGAUGAGAUCUUCUCCUCCGCCUUCAACUACGAGGGUGACACCAUCACAGGCAGCAAGGACAACACCUGUCGCUGACCCGUCCUACGGUCAGUAGAUUGUGUGAGGAAGGGAAGGUCAUCUGGACAGGUGACUCCAGUCUGACUACUGAUGUCCAUCCCCCAACAAGAAGAUGACUCCAACAGGGCCUUGUCUGAAGAUGCCCUUCCCCGGAAGUUAUCACUGACCCAAUGUAUGUGACCAGUAUGUGAUUCAGUAGACCGGAUAGCUUUGGUGAGUUACUAUGGUCCCACUGUCAUUUUACUACGUAGCACUGUAGACAGACAGUUUAGCGCAUUGGGUGCGUCCCAAAUGGCACCCGAUCCCUAUUAAGUGCACUACUUUUGAGCAGGGCCUAUAGAGCUUUUCAGCCUGCAUUCACCAGUUAGGAUUUGACCUGGACUGGUCACUUUGGUCCUCUGUCAUGUUCAGUGUUGAUAGUCAGUGUUUGUUUGUGUGUUAAUUGGAGAAUGGGCUGGACGGAAGAAUGUUUUCUGUACCCAUCUUUUCCUCAAUAAAAACUAUUCAUGCUCACAUAUUACAUUAAUUUAUUGAUCUCAAAA
Molecule: long non-coding RNA, 2512 nt
Organism: Oncorhynchus nerka (sockeye salmon)
Lineage: Eukaryota; Metazoa; Chordata; Actinopteri; Salmoniformes; Salmonidae
Exons: 8
Source: RefSeq, a predicted model, not a curated record